This is a long non-coding RNA of Crocodylus porosus (Australian saltwater crocodile), 1703 nucleotides long. NCBI's taxonomy places the organism in Eukaryota, Metazoa, Chordata, Crocodylia, Crocodylidae. The record is from Ensembl.
GGGCAAUUCAGUUUCUUGUUUCAAAGGAUUCUUGAUAAUUUGGGGCUUUCUCAGUCUUUAAAAACAUAAGGAGAAUAAUAUAAAAAUUAAACCUUAGCAAAACAUUGAUAUUAUCAGUCUUCAUCACUUCAUAACUACUAAGUUAAUACCUUUACUAUUUAGCUUAAUUAAUGUAUUAUGUGGUACAGCAUGUUAUUGUCUCCACAUGUGUGAGGAAUCUUUCCAUUCCCUUGUGAAUGCAUUUAAGAAACCACAUGAAUGUCACCUGCAGUUUCAAGUAUGUGUUCAAAAGGGAGGGAGGAAGUUAUCCUACAUAGUUGAUCUUCUCCCAGAAAUGUUGUAUGGUCUUCAGUAACCCCUUGCUGAAAUUCCUCCAUAAGGUAGCACCUUGCUCUCUUACUGUUUCUGCAUCUUUGAAUCCUUUGUCUAAGAGAUAUAGCUGUGUAAAGAACUAACAGCAAUGCAAUAAGUAAAUGCACAUAGUGACUGCUCUGAUCAGGUUGAACAACAAACUGGUGCUACAUUAAAAUUUAUAAAGACUAUGAGGAAAUUGAUAGCUGAGGAAGACAAACAUCAGGAAUCAAGUGUGAAAAAACUGCAUGGUGUUUCACUAACAAAGUAUUCUGAACAUUUCAUUUUCAAGAUGGGAAAUUUCAAUUUAGUCUACGGCUUUGUGUCUUACUUUGGGCCAGUUCCUCCCUAAAAGGUUGAUACGGGCAUAUUUUCCUCUCUUGAUUAUUUUCUUGACUUCUUCUUGAGAUCAAGAACCAGCUUGUUAUCUUGAUGCCAAACAGGAGAUUAUCCUAUUGUGGGUCCUACCAUUAAUACCAUUGCCACCAAUAACCAGUGGUAACAAAAGUCCAUGUAUGCCUUUUCCUUGCACAAACACACUUAAGGAAUGAUAUGGAAGCUUCCAGGAAUAACAGAAAAUGCCUUUUCUUGGAGAUAAUUCCAUAAGGAAGUGAUAAAAAAGACAACUCUAGUUUGAUCAAGUCAUCCUCUCCUCACAUUUAUCUUUAAAUCUGAACUUACAUAUAUUCUGAAAACCUAAGCCUGUUGCAGUGACCUAAGCAUGUACUUUUGUAGAAAGUUUUUUUCUGUGUUCCAAAUUUCCCUACAGAAGAGGAACAAAAUAUGUUUGAGAACUAGAAUAGAGAUCAUUCAAGGGAAGAUCAAAUGAUUGCCUUUGAUUUAAAAAUAUAAGAAGGUCCUUCUCCUAGACAUGGAGUUGAUGCUAUUCUCCAAUUCCUGAAGCAAUACUCUAAAUGAAUGGAUUUUAAUUUAUUUUUGUUCAUUGAAUAGCCCUGACUGAAUAACAGCUCCAAGAAUUGAGAAGCUAUACUUUGAGCUGGCUCUAGAAAUGGAUCUGUGGACUUGACAACCUUUGUCCUUUGGAUUUAUAUCAUGUGUCCAACUCAGAAUGCAAAGAACACUUGGGAUUCUAAAGCUCAAGAGAAAAGCCCUUUUUUAGCUUGAAAGUUACAUAUCCCUGGAAGAUAAUUAUUAUAUUUUUCUCCUCUAUCACUCUUCCUUUAUUUCCCAUAUUUAUGGGUUCUCCAAUUUGGCUAGCUCUUGUUCCUGUGUCAUAAUGUUUACAGUUUCUUUUGCAAUCUCAUUAGAGGGGCUUUCCAGUGUGAAGGAUAUAAGUUCUGGAAAACAGGGCACAGGCAGGCCAUACAUUUUUUUUCAAACAAACAAAGGUG